GGGGGUAUAUCUCAAUAGGUAGAGACUAUUUUUUGCAAGAAUAAAGGUAGCGGUUCAAAUCCGCUUACCUCCA
RNAcentral lists this transfer RNA (73 nucleotides) under Nephromyces sp. ex Molgula occidentalis. RNAcentral describes it as "tRNA-Ala". It matches the Rfam family "tRNA". From Rfam's summary of the family: Transfer RNA (tRNA) molecules are approximately 80 nucleotides in length. Their secondary structure includes four short double-helical elements and three loops (D, anti-codon, and T loops). Further hydrogen bonds mediate the characteristic L-shaped molecular structure. tRNAs have two regions of fundamental functional importance: the anti-codon, which is responsible for specific mRNA codon recognition, and the 3' end, to which the tRNAs corresponding amino acid is attached (by aminoacyl-tRNA synthetases). tRNAs cope with the degeneracy of the genetic code in two manners: having more than one tRNA (with a specific anti-codon) for a particular amino acid; and 'wobble' base-pairing, i.e. permitting non-standard base-pairing at the 3rd anti-codon position. Lineage: Eukaryota; Apicomplexa; Aconoidasida; Nephromycida. The record is from RNAcentral.